RNAcentral lists this ribosomal RNA (325 nucleotides) under uncultured eukaryote. RNAcentral's name for it is "partial 18S ribosomal RNA". It matches the Rfam family "Eukaryotic small subunit ribosomal RNA", at positions 1470 to 1796 of the family's 1831-position model. The record is from RNAcentral.
CCCUUAGAUGUCCUGGGCCGCACGCGCGCUACACUGAUGCAUUCAACGAGUAUUUCCUUGGCCGAGAGGCCUGGGCAAUCUUUUAAACCUGCAUCGUGAUAGGGAUAGAUUAUCGCAAUUAUUAAUCUUGAACGAGGAAUUCCUAGUAAACGCAAAUCAUCAAUUUGCAUUGAUUACGUCCCUGCCCUUUGUACACACCGCCCGUCGCACCUACCGAUUGAAUGGUCCGGUGAAAUCUCGGGAUUGUGGCCAGUUCACUUUAUUGGGAGUUGGCUGCGAGAACUUGCUUAAACCUUAUCAUUUAGAGGAAGGUGAAGUCGUAACA